RNAcentral lists this ribosomal RNA (718 nucleotides) under uncultured bacterium. RNAcentral describes it as "bacterial SSU rRNA". It matches the Rfam family "Bacterial small subunit ribosomal RNA", at positions 75 to 808 of the family's 1533-position model. The record is from RNAcentral.
GGAGCUUGCUUUAUAUAACUUAGCAGCGAACGGGUGAGUAACACGUAGAUAAUCUAUCCUAUACUGGGGGAUAGCCCGAUGAAAGUUGGAUUAAUACCGCAUAUAGCUAUAUAGUUGCAUGAUUAUGUAGUGAAAGAUUUAUUGGUAUAGGAGGAGUCUGCGGCACAUUAGCUAGUAGGUGAGGUAAAGGCUUACCUAGGCGACGAUGUGUAGCCGGUCUGAGAGGAUGAACGGCCACAAUGGAACUGAGACACGGUCCAUACUCCUACGGGAGGCGACAGUGGGGAAUAUUGCACAAUGGGGGAAACCCUGAUGCAGCAACGCCGCGUGAGUGAAGAAGGUUUUCGGAUUGUAAAGCUCUGUUAGCAGGGAAGAGGAAGGACGGUACCUGCAGAGGAAGCCACGGCUAACUACGUGCCAGCAGCCGCGGUAAUACGUAGGUGGCAAGCGUUGUUCGGAAUAACUGGGCGUAAAGGAUGCGUAGGCGGUUAAACAAGUUAUAUGUUAAAUAUAUAGGCUUAACCUGUAGAAAGCAUAUAAAACUGUUUAACUAGAGUGCAGGAGAGGUAAGUGGAAUUCCUAGUGUAGCGGUGAAAUGCGUAGAGAUUAGGAAGAACACCAGUGGCGAAGGCGACUUACUGGACUGUAACUGACGCUGAGGCAUGAGAGCAUGGGGAGCAAACAGGAUUAGAUACCCUGGUAGUCCAUGCUGUAAACG